UACGGGGGGGGCAAGCGUUGUUCGGAAUUACUGGGCGUAAAGGGCUCGUAGGCGGCCAACUAAGUCAGACGUGAAAUCCCUCGGCUUAACCGGGGAACUGCGUCUGAUACUGGAUGGCUUGAGUGUGGGAGAGGGAUGCGGAAUUCCAGGUGUAGCGGUGAAAUGCGUAGAUAUCUGGAGGAAUACCGGUGGCGAAGGCGGCAUCCUGGACCGGCAUUGACGCUGAGGAGCGAAAGCCAGGGGAGCAAACGGG
RNAcentral lists this ribosomal RNA (253 nucleotides) under uncultured bacterium. RNAcentral describes it as "partial 16S ribosomal RNA". It matches the Rfam family "Bacterial small subunit ribosomal RNA", at positions 524 to 776 of the family's 1533-position model. The record is from RNAcentral.